GAUGAACGCUGGCGGCGUGCCAAUACAUGCAAGUCGAGCGAACAGACGAGGAGCUUGCUCCUCUGACGUUAGCGGCGGACGGGUGAGUAACACGUGGAUAACCUACCUAUAAGACUGGGAUAACUUCGGGAAACCGGAGCUAAUACCGGAUAAUAUAUUGAACCGCCUGGUUCAAUAGUGAAAGACGGUUUUGCUGUCACUUAUAGAUGGAUCCGCGCCGCAUUAGCUAGUUGGUAAGGUAACGGCUUACCAAGGCAACGAUGCGUAGCCGACCUGAGAGGGUGAUCGGCCACACUGGAACUGAGACACGGUCCAGACUCCUACGGGAGGCAGCAGUAGGGAAUCUUCCGCAAUGGGCGAAAGCCUGACGGAGCAACGCCGCGUGAGUGAUGAAGGUCUUCGGAUCGUAAAACUCUGUUAUUAGGGAAGAACAAAUGUGUAAGUAACUAUGCACGUCUUGACGGUACCUAAUCAGAAAGCCACGGCUAACUACGUG
RNAcentral lists this ribosomal RNA (496 nucleotides) under uncultured bacterium. Its description in RNAcentral is "partial 16S ribosomal RNA". It matches the Rfam family "Bacterial small subunit ribosomal RNA", at positions 28 to 507 of the family's 1533-position model. The record is from RNAcentral.